AAUCAAUAGAGAAGAGCAGAACACUGGUAGAUUUAUGGCUUUGAUUUUGAAAAGGCAUGGGAAUGCCCUGUGAUGUUUCCCCCGUAUUCCUUUUGAAUGUUAAUGCUUUCUUGAAGAUGAUUUCAGACGCACUGCUAGGAUACUGCCUCUACUCAGUGAAGCAGAAUCCUCUGAAGAGUUGCUGAGGCAGAACUGAAAGCAUGGCUCUCCUCAAAGACACAGCCUUACUGGCCGUUAAUGCCUCACACAGAAAGACGAUGCUCCGUUAACUCAGAGUUUUAAUGGGAAGGUUCUAAGCCCGAAAACAACGGCUUUAGUUUGGGGUGUGCCAUCCAGCUUCUUGCAGCUACCACUGUCUUCUUUCACAAAGCUUGGUCCAGAAGAAUGGAAACUAAAGAGGCUUGUAACUACCUGUAACUGUUUCGUCAGGAAAUGGAUCAAGCGUUUUUUUCAGCCAGAUCCAGGAUCCACAACAACUCAACAACUCAUAAUGAUAGCACUGACUGUCCCCGGGUCAUGAGCAGUGUGCAGCACCGGCCUUUUAAGGUACCUGCUUGCAGUCUUUUUCAUUAUGACACACACUAGGAAAGAGAAACACAGCUGGGUAAACAGUAAGAUUUAUUGUUCGAAGUGAAAAGUUCCAGUUUGCUAAUGGGGCCUUUUGAUACUCCUGGUUCCUGACUGGGCACCCUUGUGGUCGUUUUCUGAUGUUCUGAGCUGGGCUACAGCCUCUCUCUGCAGUCCCUUUAAAACUCCUCAAGCAGGUAUUAGAAGGAAGAUGAAGAUAGAAAGAAGGGAAGCUGAGAUUGGAGCUCAGGCUAAAGAGAAAGGUCACCUGCUGACCCAGAGCUGACAAGCAGCAGUAAACUGGGUCCACUCCCAAACAGAGGCAGCCGUGUCUGCAGGUUGACUUUGCAGGGAGAGGAACAGCACACAGAGCUCCAAGUGCAGCAGUGGGGGAGGCAGCUGUUCAGGAGCUGCCUGUUGACAUUUGUAGCUGACCACCUUCACAC
This 1013-nucleotide long non-coding RNA is filed under the name Dasypus novemcinctus (nine-banded armadillo). RNAcentral's name for it is "lncRNA (ENSDNOG00000051292.1)". The record is from RNAcentral. Lineage: Eukaryota; Metazoa; Chordata; Mammalia; Cingulata; Dasypodidae.